This 253-nucleotide ribosomal RNA is filed under the name uncultured bacterium. RNAcentral describes it as "partial 16S ribosomal RNA". It matches the Rfam family "Bacterial small subunit ribosomal RNA", at positions 524 to 776 of the family's 1533-position model. The record is from RNAcentral.
GACGGAGGAUGCAAGGGUUAUCCGGAAUCACUGGGCGUAAAGCGUAUGUAGGUGGUUUAAAAAGUCCACUGUUAAAGAUUGAAGCUUAACUUCAAAAAUGCCGUGGAAACUUUUAAACUUGAGUAUGAUAGGGGUAGAGGGAAUUUCCAGUGGAGCGGUGAAAUGCGUAGAUAUUGGAAAGACCACCAAUGGCGAAGGCACUCUACUGGGCCAUUACUGACACUGAGAGACGAAAGCUAGGGGAGCAAAUGGG